GAUGAACGCUGACAGAAUGCUUAACACAUCAGCAAUUGAUUUGUGGCGGACGGGUGAGUAACGCGUAAAGAACUUGCCUCACCGCUAGGGACAACAUUUGUAAACGAAAGCUAAUACCUAAUACUGUGAGCGAGCUGUGCGUCCCAUUAGCUAGUUGGAGAGGUACCGGCUCACCAAGGCGAUGAUGGGUAGCCGGCCUGCGAGGGUGAUCGGGCACAAGGGGACGUAGACACGGCCCUUACUGCUACGGGAGGCAGCGGUGGGGAAUAUUGGACAAUGGACCAAAGUCUGAACCAGCAAUUCUGUGUGCACGAUUAAGUUUUCGGAAUGUAAAGUGAUGUCAGUUGGGAAGCGGUACCAACAGAAGAAGCGACGGCUAAAUACGUGCCAGCCGCCGCGGUAAUAC
This 406-nucleotide ribosomal RNA is filed under the name uncultured bacterium. Its description in RNAcentral is "partial 16S ribosomal RNA". It matches the Rfam family "Bacterial small subunit ribosomal RNA", at positions 28 to 526 of the family's 1533-position model. The record is from RNAcentral.